RNAcentral lists this ribosomal RNA (315 nucleotides) under Blastocystis hominis. RNAcentral's name for it is "bacterial SSU rRNA". It matches the Rfam family "Eukaryotic small subunit ribosomal RNA", at positions 42 to 348 of the family's 1831-position model. The record is from RNAcentral. Lineage: Eukaryota; Bigyra; Opalinata; Blastocystidae.
GAUUAAGCCAUGCAUGUGUAAGUAUAAAUAGUUAACUUUAAAACUGCGAAUGGCUCAUUAUAUCAGUUAUAGUUUAUUUGAUUCAAUUUAACUAUUUGGAUAACCGUAGUAAUUCUAGAGCUAAUACAUGAGAAAAGUCUUAACUUGUACUUGUACAAGAAAAGAUGUAUUUAUUAGAAUGAAAACCAAGGAUAUAGAGUAAUCUAUAUGUAUUGUGAGUAAUAAUAACUUAUCAUAUCGCAUGCUUUUAGUAGCGAUAUAUCUUUCAAGUUUCUGCCCUAUCAGCUUUCGAUGGUAGUGUAUUGGACUACCAUG